UUUGUCACCUUGGCCAGUGGCGAAACUAUAACAUCCGGGGCCUGUGGCAAAUUGAUGGGGCCCCAUCAGUAAAAAUCGUCACGUUAAAAAA
This is a long non-coding RNA of Aricia agestis (brown argus), 91 nucleotides long. RefSeq lists it as uncharacterized. The record is from RefSeq and is a predicted model, not a curated record. Lineage: Eukaryota; Metazoa; Arthropoda; Insecta; Lepidoptera; Lycaenidae. The transcript is spliced from 3 exons.